Molecule: unclassified non-coding RNA, 232 nt
Filed under: Clonostachys rosea
Lineage: Eukaryota; Fungi; Ascomycota; Sordariomycetes; Hypocreales; Bionectriaceae
Description: partial internal transcribed spacer region
Rfam family: Eukaryotic small subunit ribosomal RNA (bases 1-46)
Source: RNAcentral
AAGUCGUAACAAGGUCUCCGUUGGUGAACCAGCGGAGGGAUCAUUACCGAGUUUACAACUCCCAAACCCAUGUGAAUAUACCUAUUGUUGCUUCGGCGGGAUUGCCCCGGGCGCCUCGUGUGCCCCGGAUCAGGCGCCCGCCUAGGAAACUCAACUCUUGUUUUAUUUUGGAAUCUUCUGAGUAGUUUUUACAAAUAAAUAAAAACUUUCAACAACGGAUCUCUUGGUUCUG